CAGAAAAAUUCUUAUAAUAACCUGAUUUCACACUUCCCGUUAAGCAUGUUUAGAGUACAUUAUAGCAAAGCAUGUUAAAGCAAUCUGCCCUCCAAAAAGUGCAACUAAGAGGAGAGCCAAUGGAGCAACACUGGAGAACCAGAAAUUCAAUUCUAGGAGAAUGACAGGAGAUAUGUGAGUGGUCAGAGGAAUUAGUGAGUACUCAGUGAUUUUAGACGCUUUGCCAUUGGUGAGGAGCAGGGAAGUUCUUUCUCCUUGUUAAAAAAGAGGAUCUGGAAGCUAUAGAAACACACGGCGAUUUCUCAUCUUAAGCAGAGUUCUGGGGUACGUGAUAAAAGAAGAACUUCAGCUGAAUUAAAUUUAAAGGAGUUUGAGCAAUGAAUAAUUCGCGAAUUGGGCAGCCCCCAGAAUCACAGCAGAUUCACAAAGACUCCAGUGCAACCACGUGGUAGAAGAAGAUUUACAGACAAAAAAAAAAAAAAAAUGGAAAUGACAUACAGAAAUUGGAAGGAGAGUACAGAACUGCCGGUUGGUUACAGAGAGAGGAAAGCAAAAAUUGUUCUCUACAUCUGAGCUGUGGUGUCAGCAUAUUACCCACCACUAGAGCACAAAAGCAAAGUUCAGGCCCUCAUUUUAGAAUCAACAUGGGUGGCUGGUGACCGUCAAUUUCACCAAUGGGUAAAAACACACGACUUCCCUGGAUGCCUGUCAUUUGCCUCUCAUCGCAUAGUAACCAGCUGUAUAAGUAAGCAAAAAAAUCCUCGAAACUGUUUAUUGACUAUAAUUAACAGGGUUUAUGGUAUUUGAAAGCAAAUAAGCACUAUGACAAAUAUAAUAAAAUAUGAUGCAUAAAAAUGAUGUAAAACCGACUUGAUGUUCUGACUUUCCAGUGAAAGUCGUUUUCCUGGUUUACCUGAUGAAAUGUUUCAGAGGUUCAUUGCAUGAACUAUGAGUCAUAGCUUCAAGUCUCUGGUUGCCACUUUACCAUUUACAUGAUUUAAGGCCAAAAUCUG
This 1013-nucleotide long non-coding RNA is filed under the name Homo sapiens (human). RNAcentral's name for it is "HSALNT0380824". The record is from RNAcentral. Lineage: Eukaryota; Metazoa; Chordata; Mammalia; Primates; Hominidae.